CGGAAGUCACUGAAGGCCGUUGCGUGGGGUGGGUCCAAGCAGGCAAAGGGUCGAGGGAGAAAGGUCAGCCGCAGUCAGCCACAGCCGCGACUGCAAAGCCACCCUUGGCUGCCGGUCCAGUUGUCAAGCAAGGGUCCCAGCUGGGGCUACUGCUGGGGGGCUCAAGGAAGGCCUCUGAGCACCAUGGGCUGCAUUAUGCUAGCCUGGCAGCCACCACUGGGACUCCCCAGGUCGCUAGACUGCCCAAUAAAUCAUUACGCCUUUGAGCCUCUGUGCCUUGUGUGUAUAGAUUCUUCCAGCAGUCACCUCUGAGAGCCGCCGAUGCACCAGCUCCCGUAGAUUCAGUGAACAGACCCGGCGCUUAGAUCAAGCUGCUCACAAAUUAGCAGGCGAGCAGCAGUGCCCACCAUGUUCCGGAACAGUGCUCACGAGACAGACUCUGACCCCAAGGAGCUCCCAGGCCAGCAGGAGAUGAGGACAGUCUGGAGAUGCACACAGACAAUAACAACAGAGCGGGAGACACGCUAUGACAGAGGUCGGUAACUUUGAGACUUCGCCAUGCUACACUUCGGAGCCCUCAUCUACCCAAUGGACAUGCUAAUACUCACCUCUCCAAUUCGCAGAAUUAAGUGUGUUAAAUGAUAA
Long non-coding RNA from Balaenoptera acutorostrata (minke whale), 645 nucleotides. RefSeq lists it as uncharacterized. The record is from RefSeq and is a predicted model, not a curated record. Lineage: Eukaryota; Metazoa; Chordata; Mammalia; Artiodactyla; Balaenopteridae. The transcript has 3 exons.